CAUGUUGUAGCUCAGUGGCAGAGCGUUUGCCUAGCAUGUAUGAGGCACUGGGUUCAAUCCUCAGCACCACAU
Molecule: transfer RNA, 72 nt
Filed under: Urocitellus parryii (Arctic ground squirrel)
Lineage: Eukaryota; Metazoa; Chordata; Mammalia; Rodentia; Sciuridae
Also listed under: 1 other name
Description: Spermophilus parryii (Arctic ground squirrel) tRNA
Rfam family: tRNA
About the family: Transfer RNA (tRNA) molecules are approximately 80 nucleotides in length.
Source: Rfam by way of RNAcentral